GACGAACGCUGGCGGCGUGCUUAACACAUGCAAGUCGAACGGAAAGGCCCUGCUUUUGUGGGGUGCUCGAGUGGCGAACGGGUGAGUAACACGUGAGUAACCUGCCCUUGACUUUGGGAUAACUUCAGGAAACUGGGGCGAAUACCGGAUAGGAGCUCCUGCUGCAUGGUGGGGGUUGGAAAGUUUCGGCGGUGGGGGAUGGACUCGCGGCUUAUCAGCUUGUUGGUGGGGUAGUGGCGUACCAAGGCUUUGACGGGUAGCCGGCCUGAGAGGGUGACCGGCCACAUUGGGACUGAGAUACGGCCCAGACUCCUACGGGAGGCAGCAGUGGGGAAUAUUGCACAAUGGGCGGAAGCCUGAUGCAGCAACGCCGCGUGCGGGAUGACGGCCUUCGGGUUGUAAACCGCUUUCGCCUGUGACGAAGCGUGAGUGACGGUAAUGGGUAAAGAAGCCCCGGCUAACUACGUG
This 468-nucleotide ribosomal RNA is filed under the name uncultured bacterium. RNAcentral's name for it is "partial 16S ribosomal RNA". It matches the Rfam family "Bacterial small subunit ribosomal RNA", at positions 28 to 507 of the family's 1533-position model. The record is from RNAcentral.